GCGAAGCAAUGAUGUAGGGUGAAAAGUACGCGUCUCUGUUUAUUAUGGUGCUGAAUUUUGACUUGUAAACAAGUAAAGAAAUUCCUUUUGAGAGAAAAAUUAUGAAACAGAACAGUUGAAAAAUGGAUUUCAUGGACAUACUGUUCAAUAAAAACAGGCCAUUUGAGCCUGCGAAAAUUUCGGGUGGAACAACAAAUGGACGCGUUGCUGCUGAACGCGGGCGCACAGUUGCAAAGAUCUUAGAAACAAGCGACAGAGAAAUGAUUGAAGAUGAUUUAGCUAUGAUUCGACAAAAGUUACACGACAACAUCAAAACAUCGAUGAAAACAUUUGAUUGUCACGACGAUGGUCACGACGAUGACAUCUAUAAAAAGUACAACUUCAAUCGUAGAUCACAAUUGAGUACCCAAUUGCCAAUUUAUGGAUGUAAAGAGAAGAUAAUGUCUAAAAUAAGGCAAUACCCGAGCGUUGUCAUAGAAGGAUCCACCGGGUGUGGAAAAAGUACACAGAUUCCUCAGAUGAUACUCGACGAUGCAAGGGAGCAUGGAAAGGCGUGCAAUAUAAUUGUUACACAACCAAGACGCAUUGCAGCUAAAAGCAUCGCUGACCGGGUCGUCCGUGAACGUGGUUGGGACCUAGGCACUGUCGUUGGGUAUCAGAUAGGCCUGGACAAACGAUUUGUUUCCGAAGACACUCGAAUUACAUUCGUUACAACCGGCAUUCUAUUGGAGAAAUUGAUUCAUUCAAAGAGUUUGACUCAAUUUUCGCAUAUUGUGUUAGAUGAAGUGCACGAACGAAACAAGGAAAUGGAUUUUCUUUUCGUCAUUCUACGAAUUUUAUGGUCUCAAAGCAUUAAUAUUAAGGUCAUCCUGAUGAGUGCUACCAUUGACACCGUAAAAUUUGCCGAAUACUUCAGAUUUUUUCAGUUCGAUCAUUGGGUUCCAGCACCAAUUGUGAAAGUUGACCAGAAAAGUUUGUACACGGUGAAAGAGUUCUACCUUGAUGAUAUCAAAGGCUUACCGGUACCUGAAAUCCAUUGGAAACAACCGGGCAUUACAGACGAAAUGUACAAGCUAGCAUUAUUGUUGAUCACAAACAUCAAGGGCAUCGAUCGUGAAACCGACACCGGACUGUCGUCCAUUUUGAUUUUUCUGCCCGGCAUUUACGAAAUUGGCCGUUUCCGCACUAAACUAAUGGAAUAUGCGCAAUCGAAAUGUGAUUUAAAGUGGCGAAUUUUCAUUUUACAUUCAUUGAUCAGCACUGAAGAACAACAAUUAAUCUUUGAGCCCGUUGAAAAUAAUGUGCGCAAAAUUAUUCUAAGUACUAACAUUGCAGAGAGCUCUAUCACAGUACCAGAUGUUAAAUAUGUUAUCGAUUUCUGCCUGAUGAAAUAUCUCAAGAGUGAUACAACGAAAAAUUUUACAUCAUUGGAAAUGGAUUGGGCAGCUAAAAACAAUUGCAAGCAGCGAGCUGGACGCGCGGGCCGAGUGGCAAACGGACGAUGCUACCGCCUGGUGAAAAGACGAUUUUUCGAAUGCUACAUGGCUGAAUCUGCAACUCCCGAAAUACUUUUGACACCGCUUGAAAAUGUCAUUCUCAAAGCAAAGACAUUCGAAAUGGAAGCACCGUACACGUUGCUUGGUUUAGCUAUGGAUGCACCCGAUAUGGACGAUAUCGCAAACACUGUUCUAACUUUGAAGGAGCUUGGUGCAUUACACUUGACAGUGCAAAAUAGUUACAGUGCAAUGGAUGGCGAUAUGACAUUCCUUGGCCACAUAAUGUCCAACCUUCCAAUUGAUGUGCGCGCUACACGUCUCAUUGCGCUGGGAUAUUGUUUUGGUGUGCUCGAAGAAUGCAUCAUAAUGGCUGCUGGCCUAACGACCAAAAGCAUUUUCAAAAUCACAUUUGAACGAGAUCUAAGCGAAUACUCGCGACGAUUGGAAUGGUCAAAUGGUUCUGGAAGCGAUCUAUUUGCCAUUCUAAAUGCAUACAAAAUCUGGAAUCUCAAAUACAAUCAGAAAGAUUUUGGACGAAACAAGGAAGAAGAAAAAAAAUUUUGUAAUCGGCAUUAUUUGGAUUUACGUUCGCUGAACGAGUGUCACCAACUGGUUUUAGAGUUAACUCAACGGCUUGAGAAGCUUGGCAUACGCCAGGCGACUGGUGUUGAUAGAAUUCGAUGGACAGAGCAAGAGAAAGGCAUCAUACUGAAAGUGGUCUGUAGCGGUGCAUUUUAUCCACAUUUUUUUGCAACUCCACCAAUAAACAAUCCCAUGGUGGAACGAGACGCGUUUCACUCACUCAAUGGCCGUGAUCCAGAUAACACUGUCUUCUUCACUGGAUUUCGACAAGAGAACAUUCGUCCACUAUACUCAUUUUUUGUCCGAGCGCUUUUCCAAAACACAGUUGUAGCAGCAGAUAAUAUCAAUAGUGUCAAGGUCUCAUUCGACGCCAAUUCCGAAAAGGUUUUCAUCACGUUCGAGGGCGUUUCACAGGGCGUUUGCAGUGACAAUCAAAAUGAUUGGGACACAAAGCUUUGUUCAAUCCCGGGUAAAACCCUAACUGAAGUCUACAAAGCGGUGAAGAUGCGCAAAAUGAACAUGCCUACACGCAUUCCACUCAUGAAACCAGACAGAGAGAAGCAAGUUGCUGAAAAGAUGGGUUUGGGAUUCAUGGAAACCGACUCUUUUAUCUUUAAAGGAAGUUGUUGUGGUGAAAUUCGUAACAUAUGUAUUCCCAAAACUACGGAAAAAGAAGUAAUGGGAACCGUAACUCAUGUCGAAAAUUGUUCAACAUUUUGGUUCCAACCGAUUGAUGAAAGACAACGAAUUGAAUAUUACAAUCAAGAAUUGAACAAUGACUUUCACAGUAUCCUUGCACAACCGAAAUCAUUGCACACCCUUAGUAAAACCGAAAUCAUUGUUGCUCGCGAUCACGCCGAUGGUAAACUUUAUCGUGCUCAGUUGACCUCUUCCGAAGGCACUGUGUAUUUCCUCGACUCAGGUCGUAGGCAAAAGUGUCAAUUGGAUGAUAUCUAUGUGUUCACGCGGCAAACAGAGCAGGCAACGAUGCCACCACGGUGUUUCCAGUGCCGUUUGUCUGAAAUUAGUCCAUCGACGGCCAAUUUAUCAGGCGGAAAUAUGUGGGAUCAUGAAGCGAUUAAAGUAUUCAAAAGUUUCGUCAUCGAUCGUGAAGUGAAGGCUGAGAUAUACUCGGUUGUAAAUGGAACGGCAAACGUUUUCAUCUUUGCAAAUGGUACAAAUUUAAACAACAUUCUCAUCGAUCGUUAUGGUUAUGGGGAAUUUAGUGAAGAGAACUUUUUAUCGAAAAAUAAUCACUGGAAACGUCAGCAUCUGCAAAAUUUAAUUGCAGUGGAAGGGCAAACUGAAGACACCUUGAACUUUGCAGACUGUGAUGAAUAUUAUCCCAUCGCUAAUUGCUCGCCAAUUAUGCCAUUGGAAGAUCGGUACUAUGAUCGAGCGGUACAAUUGAAGGGUCCCAAAAGCCCUCUCGAAUCUGCAGUUCACUCGGUUUUAUUGCACAAUGGCAAGAGAUCGGUUAACAUAGAUGCUCACUCCGUCAAUAGUGUCUUAUUGACUUCAUUGCAACAGGACUUAUCGAUCAAGUAUAUGGUUGCUGCGCAUAUGAGUCAACAGGGUGGCAGCAAUAAGGAACUCGUUAUACAUCAAACCACUUUAUUACCAAGCAUACGUGGAUUUGGCCCCCUGAUGGCGAUGGUGUUCUGCAAACAAAUGGCUUUCACACAAACGUAUUCCAAAUGGUCAGCACCGGCAAUUUUAAUCUCUUCACUGGCAAACUUUUCGUUUUUGGUUGCAAUUAGUACACCGCCGCCACGUUGAAAAAAUAUGCCAACCAAAUUUUAUUAUGCUUUUGUUCCAUUUUACAAAAUCAAAAAUAGGAACUGUUUUCGAAAUCAUAUUCACACAUAUAUUGGACGCACUUUUUAAAAUGAUUAUUUUUUUGUUAUUAUUGGAAGGUUGUUGACCAAAAAAAGACUUGCAAAGGAAAUUCAUUCGGUUUCACAUGAAUGGCAGCAAUAUGAACAUUCAGAUUUCAAAGCAGCAGAUAAUGACGUGUACGGUUCCGCCGCAAUUUUUCCUUUACAUGGUUUACCACGCAUUCGCGAUAACAUGGAUAACAACAUGAAGAAGCGAUUGAGGUUGCAUUGUUCAGAGCUACGUCAAAUGACGAUGUUCUUACCGAGGCCGGUCGCAUGCAAGCUUUGCGCAACGGAAAUUGAUACAACUGAAAUCUUACGCACACACCUUCUGACCCGCUUGCAUCGAGAUCGAGAAAAAGAAAUCGGUUUUGACAACUGAUCAACAAAGAAAAACAUCACGAUCUGCAAACAUUUUUUUAUUCAAUACUUUUCAUAUGGCAAGAGUAAAAUAGUAUUUUGCAGAAAAAAAUUCAAUGAGAUCAUUUAUCAAAAUAUUUUCUAAAAUCAUCAGUGACUGACAACUGGCAAUGAAUAUUGAAUACAUCACUUAUGUUUAAGAAUAUCCGACGCAAGUCUGGUUGGUGAAUAAAUAAAUGAAUACGAUAUAAA
Molecule: RNA transcript, 4567 nt
Organism: Sitodiplosis mosellana (orange wheat blossom midge)
Lineage: Eukaryota; Metazoa; Arthropoda; Insecta; Diptera; Cecidomyiidae
Gene name: probable ATP-dependent RNA helicase spindle-E
Exons: 22
Source: RefSeq, a predicted model, not a curated record